This is a transfer RNA of Basidiobolus meristosporus CBS 931.73, 73 nucleotides long. It matches the Rfam family "tRNA". Rfam says of the family: Transfer RNA (tRNA) molecules are approximately 80 nucleotides in length. Their secondary structure includes four short double-helical elements and three loops (D, anti-codon, and T loops). Further hydrogen bonds mediate the characteristic L-shaped molecular structure. tRNAs have two regions of fundamental functional importance: the anti-codon, which is responsible for specific mRNA codon recognition, and the 3' end, to which the tRNAs corresponding amino acid is attached (by aminoacyl-tRNA synthetases). tRNAs cope with the degeneracy of the genetic code in two manners: having more than one tRNA (with a specific anti-codon) for a particular amino acid; and 'wobble' base-pairing, i.e. permitting non-standard base-pairing at the 3rd anti-codon position. Lineage: Eukaryota; Fungi; Basidiobolomycota; Basidiobolomycetes; Basidiobolales; Basidiobolaceae. The record is from Rfam.
GGCCUCGUAGCUCAGUGGAUAGAGCGUCCGCCUCCUAAGCGGAAGGUCCCAGGUUCGACCCCUGGCUUGGUUA